This 82-nucleotide transfer RNA is filed under the name Agrocybe pediades. It matches the Rfam family "tRNA". Rfam says of the family: Transfer RNA (tRNA) molecules are approximately 80 nucleotides in length. Their secondary structure includes four short double-helical elements and three loops (D, anti-codon, and T loops). Further hydrogen bonds mediate the characteristic L-shaped molecular structure. tRNAs have two regions of fundamental functional importance: the anti-codon, which is responsible for specific mRNA codon recognition, and the 3' end, to which the tRNAs corresponding amino acid is attached (by aminoacyl-tRNA synthetases). tRNAs cope with the degeneracy of the genetic code in two manners: having more than one tRNA (with a specific anti-codon) for a particular amino acid; and 'wobble' base-pairing, i.e. permitting non-standard base-pairing at the 3rd anti-codon position. The record is from Rfam by way of RNAcentral. Lineage: Eukaryota; Fungi; Basidiomycota; Agaricomycetes; Agaricales; Agrocybaceae.
GGCGUUGUAGCAAAGUGGUUAAUGCGACAGAUUAGAAAUCUGUUCCUCUUUGAGGGCACAGGUUCGAGUCCUGUCAACGUCG